CCUACGGGUGGCAGCAGUGGGGAAUAUUGGGCCAUGGACGCAACCCUGACCCAGCAACGCCGCGUGAAUGAUGAAGGUCCUCGGAUUGUAAAGUUCUUUUAUGGGGGAUGAACACAAUGACGGUACUCCAUUAGUAAGCCACGGCUAACUACGUGCCAGCAGCCGCGGUAAUACGUAGGUGGCAAGCGUUAUCCGGAUUGACUGGGUGUAAAGGGCGUGUAGGGGGUUCUGUAAGUUAGAUGGGAAAUCCAGGGGCUCAACCUCGGCGCUGCCGCCAAAACUGUUGUCCUGGAGUGCAGGAGAGGUAAGUGGAAUGCCGGGUGUAGCGGUGAAAUGCGUAGAUAUAAGGAGGAACAUCAGUGGCGAAGGCGGCUUGCUGGACUGUAACUGACGCUGAGGCGCGAAAGCGUGGGGAGCAAACAGGAUUAGAUACCCGUGUAGUC
This 443-nucleotide ribosomal RNA is filed under the name uncultured bacterium. Its description in RNAcentral is "partial 16S ribosomal RNA". It matches the Rfam family "Bacterial small subunit ribosomal RNA", at positions 338 to 795 of the family's 1533-position model. The record is from RNAcentral.